GGCAGUUGAUUGUGUUGUCUUGGG
This 24-nucleotide non-coding RNA is filed under the name Arabidopsis thaliana (thale cress). The record is from RNAcentral. Lineage: Eukaryota; Viridiplantae; Streptophyta; Magnoliopsida; Brassicales; Brassicaceae.